GUCUAGAAUUGACAGGCAAUCCUCUCAACUCUUUUCUGUCUCCUUCCUUGUAUCUACAAAUCUGCAGAACUCUACCCAGCUACCAAGCUGACUGGUCAGCAGGCUCUGACAAGUGGUGCCAAGCUGUGAGAUGGGUAUGGAGGACUCUGUGACGGAUCACCACAGAAGGAAAAAAAAAAAGGAGUGCACUUGAAAAUAGUGGAAGCUGUGGAUGAAAAUGAAGUUUUUUGUUUGCCUGAGUGAUUGGUGCAGUGUAUGGAGCAGAGAGAUGCUGAUCCUGAUGUUGCUGAUGACCAUCCAGAGAUUCCAGAGUGAAAGCUAUUGGGCCUAUGUUCCUGAUCCACCAUUUUUACAUCCUGUAACUUGUGAAGGAAAAGAAAUUGUGGUUAAUGAUACCAGGCUUUUAGAUUGACCUGCCACCCAAGAGUUUCAGAUUGCUUGGAAUUUUUCUUAUAUUGUAUGGUAAAGGGAUUUCUGUAUGUUUUGCAAAAAAUAUCACUUUGAAGGGAUGUCUUGGAGUGUUUCCAAAACAAGUAUUGGGAAACAAUGUAUUGCUUCCUCAAGGUAAUUAGAUAGGUAAUAUUUCAGCUCCUCAAUGAUUUCCUUCAUGCACAAAAGAAAUGUGAGAGUCUAACAGAACUUUGCUAUGGAGACCAUGUACUGGCAUUUCUCCUUUAAAGUACAACAUUACAGGGACACAGCAAUAUAUUCUUGAUUGGUCCAAAAAUCAGGAAAUUAUAAUGACUCUUAUCCUGUGUCUUCAGCAGGAAUCUUGGGACCAAGGACUGUGAGGUGGAAUUUGGUGUCCUAUUAUUGGAUCUCCGCAAACUUAUGUUUGUAAACUUACUGCCAUGGAAACAGUGGCAGGACACUCUAGUUACUUGAAGCCUGUUUGUCCUUUGAAAGGAACUGUUUUAGCUUUUGUUAAAAAUACUCUAUGUUCUUUUAGUUGUUGAAUCAAAUAUUUCUAUGAAUGGUUCUUGUUUAACGUACCAUGUCUUAAUUAAUUUUGACUAAUUGUAUUUCUCAAAUGUAUAAUCAUACUCAUGUAAUAGUGUUAAAACAACCUUUUUUUGUAAUGUUGCCAGUAUAUAUGGGUGAUCCAUGUUUUGAUGAUAUAGGGUUACAAGUGAUUGAAGAAAUCAAAAAAGUUUAAGCAAACAGAAGCAUGUUGCUGGAUUAGUUAUAGCAGGAAUUGCAGCCUUUUUUACUAUGCUUGCUACUACUACUAUUGCUUCAGUGGCUUUGUAUCAAUCCAUUUAUACAGCAGGGUUUGUUAAUCAAUUGUCUAUGAAUGUUUCUAUGACAUUAGAGACUCAAGAAGAUAUAGAUGUGAAAAUGGAACAUAAAUUGAAUGCUCUAUAUGAUGUGGUACAAUUUCUGAGAGAUGAACUCCAAAGCCUAAAAACUAGAGUACAUUUGAAAUGUCAUGCUAAUUAUGAAUGGAUUUAUGUCAUAUCUUUUGUGUAUAAUGAAAGUGCUAUUGGAUAGGAAAGAGUUAUAGCACAUCUUAAAGGAAUUCGGCAUGAUUCUAAUGAAUCAUUAGAUUUGGCUAAAUUACAUCAAGAUAUUAUAGAAAUGAAAAAGGCUAAAUUGGAUUUUGAUGCAGUUAAAAAAGCUGAAGAUAUUUUAGAACAAUUCAAAAAGGCUAUUCCAUCAUGGUCAUCAUUUACUUUGCUCUUAAGUAGUAUUGUAGUUAUUGGAGCAUAACUACAUGUGUUAUGUAAACAUAUAAAGCAUGUGUCUUAUUAGGCAUAAUCUACUUGCCUGUAAUUUUCAAGCUGGUUAAUGAACUCAUUAUGGAGAUUGGUCUCUGAACUCCAUGAAGUAAAACUGCACAUUCCCCUGGCUACCAGAGGCUGGUAGCCAAAGACAGGUGAGUUUCUUUCCCUCCUUUCAACCUAAGACAGGACAUGAAUGAUGGAAUUCAUGCUCCCAUGACAGGUAAGAUUGGGGUGUGGUAAGGAACAACCGUAGACAGGCACAAUAAUCUGAGAGACUCAGUAGAGUCUUAAAUAAAUAAAAAGGGAAGAAUUGUGGGAGCCCACAACUGACCCAGUUUCCCAGUUUGAGUCUGAAGUCUAUUCUGGGUCAAUAGAGUUUAAGCUUGCUUGCUCCAGGAGUGUGAGAAAGUCCUGAUUAAUCCACAGAGUCUCCUUGAAGGGCUGUGAGAAAGUCCUGAUUAGCCCACAGGAAGGAACAUACCAUCUAGCAAGAUGCAGGCUGUUGAUGCCAGCCAGAAGUCAUUGAGAUAGAAAAUGAAACCGCCUGCUCCUUGAUGCAAGGAUAGGAUAGAUCGUGGCUGAAUGCCAGUACUGUGCAUUGUUCUACAUCUGUCCUUUAAGACUGUAUAUAAGCUGGUUGUGAAAUAAAAUUAGGGCUGUCUGGCACUGACUGACAGUCCUCUGGACUCUG
Peromyscus eremicus (cactus mouse) is the source of this 2415-nucleotide long non-coding RNA. RefSeq lists it as uncharacterized. The record is from RefSeq and is a predicted model, not a curated record. The transcript has 2 exons. NCBI's taxonomy places the organism in Eukaryota, Metazoa, Chordata, Mammalia, Rodentia, Cricetidae.